UACGUAGGUGGCAAGCGUUGUCCGGAUUUACUGGGCGUAAAGAGCGCGCAGGCGGUCGUUCAAGUCGCGUGUGAAAGCCCCCGGCUCAACUGGGGAGGGUCACGCGAUACUGAUCGACUCGAAGGCAGGAGAGGGAAGUGGAAUUCCCGGUGUAGUGGUGAAAUGCGUAGAUAUCGAGAGGAACACCAGUGGCGAAGGCGAGUCCCUGGACAACACCUGACACUGAGGCACGAAAGCUAGGGGAGCAAACAGG
This 253-nucleotide ribosomal RNA is filed under the name uncultured bacterium. Its description in RNAcentral is "partial 16S ribosomal RNA". It matches the Rfam family "Bacterial small subunit ribosomal RNA", at positions 524 to 776 of the family's 1533-position model. The record is from RNAcentral.